Molecule: ribosomal RNA, 429 nt
Filed under: Bacteroidota bacterium
Lineage: Bacteria; Pseudomonadati; Bacteroidota
Description: Bacteroidetes bacterium partial 16S ribosomal RNA
Rfam family: Bacterial small subunit ribosomal RNA
Source: RNAcentral
UAGGGAAUCUUCGGCAAUGGGGGGAACCCUGACCGAGCAACGCCGCGUGAGUGAAGAAGGUUUUCGGAUCGUAAAGCUCUGUUGUUAAGGAAGAACGAGUGUGAGAAUGGAAAGUUCAUGCUGUGACGGUACUUAACCAGAAAGGGACGGCUAACUACGUGCCAGCAGCCGCGGUAAUACGUAGGUCCCGAGCGUUGUCCGGAUUUAUUGGGCGUAAAGCGAGCGCAGGCGGUUGGAAAAGUCUGAAGUGAAAGGCAGUGGCUCAACCAUUGUAGGCUUUGGAAACUGUUUAACUUGAGUGCAGAAGGGGAGAGUGGAAUUCCAUGUGUAGCGGUGAAAUGCGUAGAUAUAUGGAGGAACACCGGUGGCGAAAGCGGCUCUCUGGUCUGUAACUGACGCUGAGGCUCGAAAGCGUGGGGAGCGAACAGG